Acanthosepion pharaonis is the source of this 113-nucleotide non-coding RNA. The record is from the annotation of a GenBank genome assembly. Lineage: Eukaryota; Metazoa; Mollusca; Cephalopoda; Sepiida; Sepiidae.
UUACGGCCAUAUAGUGUGGAAAAACCGGCUCCCGUACGAUCAACGAAAUUAAGCGACGUCGAGCCUGGCCAGUACCUAGAUGAGUGACUGCUUCGGAUUACCCGGUGCUGUAG